GAGCCCUCGGCUCUGCUGUUACCAUCCAUUUCCCCAGGCUUCCUGUAAUAUGCUGCUGCCCACUGGGGCAUCCAGAGAAGACGACGUGAGGAGAAGCAGACGAGCAGAUGGCUGCUUCCAUCUCUACCUCUUCCCCCUGAGCCUGUAGCACCUCAGCUGGGCAGCCAGUCUACCCUGUUUGAAAGCUGCUCCAUCCUCCUGAUCAUCUUGGUUGCCCUUCCCUAGUUCUCUUCCAGACUUUCCAAAGAUGCACUGACCAGGAAUGCAGGCACUUCUCCUCGUUUUCAAGCAAAUCUCAGUCCCUUUUUACCUACAGUUCAAUCAGGAGUUCCACAUGCAUUUCCUGUUGACUUCACAUUAGGAAAAAUCAAUAAAGUGGUCAGACUUGCUUUUAAUCCCAUUUUAGUAUGUUGUAUUAAGAAACAAAGCUGAAAACCUAGCCUCCUUUAAUAUAACCUGGUAAUAUUCUAAAAAUGUUGUGGCUCAGCUUAACAGUUUUUCUCUCAUGGAAAACCAAAUGGUUCUUCCAUUAGUACAACCAAUAAAUGGUCUGUGUAUAAAUGUGCAUUAUAAGUGGUUACACUGUUUGAAAAUAUCUUUAGAAUAAAAUAAAGGGAGAACUUUG
Ornithorhynchus anatinus (platypus) is the source of this 625-nucleotide long non-coding RNA. RefSeq lists it as uncharacterized. NCBI's taxonomy places the organism in Eukaryota, Metazoa, Chordata, Mammalia, Monotremata, Ornithorhynchidae. The transcript has 2 exons. The record is from RefSeq and is a predicted model, not a curated record.